AUGUGACCAAAUACAGCUAUUGUUAUUUCCAGUGUAAGUGUAGCUUAUUUAUAUAAUAAAUUUAAUGUUUAAAUUGCACUUGUAUACAGUAUUAUACGUGUGCAGAAACACCAAACUGUCAUGUCGUGGGCAAGGACAGAGGCAAAGUCCGGCAUCAGGGGAAAGCAAAGGGGGCUUUAUUGAAAGAAACCACAAGGUGCUGACUAAGGUGGGCCGUUCAACCUUUCCGCCUCUUUGGUAAUUAAAUUCUCCACUAUAUAUUUUCAUAAUUUCUUGUCUGUUAGUCUUGCAGGAAUGUUGAACAGAUCCGUUAGGCACUGUGAUGGGAGAGUGAAAGAAAAGUGUUUAUUUAGCUUCUAGGGCUUAACAACUAGGGGAGCUGACUGAAUAGAAAAGGUAACAGAUUUGACCUCAGUAAAGUGGAAAUAUGCAGGACAACAAGGCAGGUAUUAGGUUUACAGAACUAAAAGUUUAUACAGAAUGUACUACAAAAUAAUCUCCUCUCCUGGCUUCGUUCAAACCCUUCUCCAUCUUUACAGUCGUUUCAGGAGUUGCAUUGGAUUUGGCUGCCUACAGUGAUGCUUUAAAUAGUGGAAUUUUCUAUAUGGGGUCUUUAUAGAACCUGUGUAUAAACACAUUGACUUGUAUUAAUUUUAAUGCUUUAGUUCUCAAAUUGAGGAAUCUUUGUAGAGUGUAGAACCUAUUUAUAGGUUCGUUGCUGGAAUAAUAUUCUCUCUGCUAUCGAUGAACUGGAUCCAGUUAUAGAUUAAGGGGUAAAUAGUAGAAGGCCAUGUUGGAAUCCAGACCAACUUCAUCAGUGCACUUUUCAUUCCCCAUUGACUAUGAAGGAGUCCCCUGUUGAACCUGGAGUGGUAUAAUCACCCUGUAAUCACUCAUUCUUCCUGUGCAGAUGAGCUCCAGUUACGAGAUGCUGGGGAUCAGUCUGUAUCUGGCCAACAUCCAAGCCACUAGCUUAUCUGCAGGAGGAAAGUUGGAAAUUUCAAACAGAACACGCCUGGAAGUUGGAGGAACCUCUGUAAUCCCGACCUCAGAAUUCAAGAUGGCUGCCCCCUUCAUCAACAGAAGUGAAAGCUCUAGUUAUAUACGGUAUAUCAGGGCUUUUGUCUUAUUUGGGUCUCUUUAAAUCGGUCGUACACAAAGUGCUGCCCAACCACUGUGGUUGCUAUAAACUUAUGUUGCUAACAAUGAACCUGGCUAGAGAAUCGGCUGCAUGGCUUCUGACUUGUCCUGGAAGAUGGCUAAGUCAACGUGAAGUAAUUUCUAUCUCCGACUUUCGACCUUCAAGGUAAAUGGUUAAUCUCCCCAGGCUUCU
Brienomyrus brachyistius is the source of this 1333-nucleotide long non-coding RNA. RefSeq lists it as uncharacterized. The transcript has 3 exons. Lineage: Eukaryota; Metazoa; Chordata; Actinopteri; Osteoglossiformes; Mormyridae. The record is from RefSeq and is a predicted model, not a curated record.